GCCAAGGAUGAUAGAAUUCAUAUAAUUGAGGUGUUGAUGAUCCAGGACCCUGUUUACAGGGAGAACCUCCUUGGUGAAUCUACAUUCAUAUGAUAUUACUGAAUUUUACUGAGGC
Small nucleolar RNA from Impatiens glandulifera, 115 nucleotides. RefSeq annotates it as small nucleolar RNA Z278. Lineage: Eukaryota; Viridiplantae; Streptophyta; Magnoliopsida; Ericales; Balsaminaceae. The record is from RefSeq and is a predicted model, not a curated record. The transcript has a single exon.